UACCAGCACCCCGAGUGGUCGGGACGUUUUAUUGGGCCUAAAGCAUCCGUAGCCGGUUCUACAAGUCUUCCGUUAAAUCCAGCUGCUUAACAGAUGGGCUGCGGAAGAUACUAUGGAGCUAGGAGGCGGGAGAGGCAAGCGGUACUCGAUGGGUAGGGGUAAAAAUCCGUUGAUCCAUUGAAGACCACCAGUGGCGAAGGCGGCUUGCCAGAACGCGCUCGACGGUGAGGGAUGAAAGCUGGGGGAGCAACCGG
This 254-nucleotide ribosomal RNA is filed under the name uncultured bacterium. RNAcentral's name for it is "partial 16S ribosomal RNA". It matches the Rfam family "Archaeal small subunit ribosomal RNA", at positions 474 to 726 of the family's 1478-position model. The record is from RNAcentral.